Molecule: non-coding RNA, 58 nt
Organism: Salmo salar (Atlantic salmon)
Lineage: Eukaryota; Metazoa; Chordata; Actinopteri; Salmoniformes; Salmonidae
Source: Rfam
UAGCUCAGUUGGUAGAGCAUGGUGUUUGCAACGCCAGGGUUGUGGGUUCGAUUCCCAU